Non-coding RNA from Delphinapterus leucas (beluga whale), 577 nucleotides. NCBI's taxonomy places the organism in Eukaryota, Metazoa, Chordata, Mammalia, Artiodactyla, Monodontidae. The record is from RefSeq and is a predicted model, not a curated record.
CCAACAUUUGCUAGAAGGUGAAGUCAGCCUCCCUCUGGGGCCCUGAAAGAUCCCCCGGGUUGGGAGGUCAAUGGAGGGAGCUGGGGCCAGGAUUCUUGAUUCCUCCACUUCCUGAUCCCCUUUGGAUAGACAGCUGGGGGCGGGGACAUUCACAGUUGAGAACACUGAGCCGAAGAGUGACAGUGUCACAGAGGAAGAAGGAUUUAAACCCACUAACAAGGUACUUGCUUGGACACCAGUGGUUGUGUGUGCAGGAGACACUGUGGAACGUUCUAGGCUCCUUUUCCCCCCCGGGCCUCAGUUUUCCUGCUCUUGCACCUCUUGGAAGCCUGUGCCCCCGCCGGUUCCAUUGUCAUCUGUCCGAGAGAGCCUUCUGAGGAUUCUGGAAGCUGAGGUCUCCAUCAGCUGCCAUUGACAGGGUCAAACUGUGAAGAAAACACCUCUCGUCUGACAGGUGAAGUGAGAUUGUGACGGAGGAGGCUAAACUGCACAGGUGCUUGCUGACACCAAGACUGCUGUAGGGGGAGCCGGGGAGCAGGUGGGGGGCAAGACACAAAGAGCCUGGUGCCUUGGAGGC